RNAcentral lists this ribosomal RNA (1006 nucleotides) under Aneurinibacillus migulanus. RNAcentral describes it as "bacterial SSU rRNA". The stretch from base 497 to 1006 matches the Rfam family "Bacterial small subunit ribosomal RNA", at positions 1 to 501 of the family's 1533-position model. The record is from RNAcentral. Lineage: Bacteria; Bacillati; Bacillota; Bacilli; Caryophanales; Paenibacillaceae.
CGCCAUUGCGGGGUGCUAUACAUGCAGUCGAGCGGACCAAUGAAGAGCUUGCUCUUCGGCGGUUAGCGGCGGACGGGUGAGUAACACGUAGGCAACCUGCCUGUACGACUGGGAUAACUCCGGGAAACCGGAGCUAAUACCGGAUACUUCUUUCAGACCGCAUGGUCUGAAAGGGAAAGACCUUUGGUCACGUACAGAUGGGCCUGCGGCGCAUUAGCUAGUUGGUGGGGUAACGGCCUACCAAGGCGACGAUGCGUAGCCGACCUGAGAGGGUGAUCGGCCACACUGGGACUGAGACACGGCCCAGACUCCUACGGGAGGCAGCAGUAGGGAAUCUUCCGCAAUGGACGAAAGUCUGACGGAGCAACGCCGCGUGAACGAUGAAGGUUUUCGGAUCGUAAAGUUCUGUUGUUAGGGAAGAACCGCCGGGAUGACCUCCCGGUCUGACGGUACCUAACGAGAAAGCCCCGGCUAACUACGUGCCAGCAGCGGGGGGGUAAUUAUGAGUUUGGAUCCUGGCUCAGGACGAACGCUGGCGGCGUGCCUAAUACAUGCAAGUCGAGCGGACCAAUGAAGAGCUUGCUCUUCGGCGGUUAGCGGCGGACGGGUGAGUAACACGUAGGCAACCUGCCUGUACGACUGGGAUAACUCCGGGAAACCGGAGCUAAUACCGGAUACUUCUUUCAGACCGCAUGGUCUGAAAGGGAAAGACCUUUGGUCACGUACAGAUGGGCCUGCGGCGCAUUAGCUAGUUGGUGGGGUAACGGCCUACCAAGGCGACGAUGCGUAGCCGACCUGAGAGGGUGAUCGGCCACACUGGGACUGAGACACGGCCCAGACUCCUACGGGAGGCAGCAGUAGGGAAUCUUCCGCAAUGGACGAAAGUCUGACGGAGCAACGCCGCGUGAACGAUGAAGGUUUUCGGAUCGUAAAGUUCUGUUGUUAGGGAAGAACCGCCGGGAUGACCUCCCGGUCUGACGGUACCUAACGAGAAGACCCGGUUCCC